Vidua macroura (Pin-tailed whydah) is the source of this 261-nucleotide long non-coding RNA. RefSeq lists it as uncharacterized. Lineage: Eukaryota; Metazoa; Chordata; Aves; Passeriformes; Viduidae. The transcript has 3 exons. The record is from RefSeq and is a predicted model, not a curated record.
UGUGCAGCUGAUUGGAGUCAGUUUGGAGUUCUGUUAAGGAGGAAGAUUUCAAAGUGCACCUCAUGACUUCUUUUCUUUAAUCAAGAGACCAUGGAGACACCCCCAGAACCUCAUGGAACCAAGGAGCCCAUGGUGACCCAGCGGGGCUGCAUGGAGCCAAUGGCCCAUGGUGACACUGCCCAUCCAAGGAGGCCAUUUGGACACUGCAGAAGCUCAUGGAGCCAGGUGUUUUUAAGGGAUGAAGAUAGAUCAGAAGAAUAU